This 788-nucleotide long non-coding RNA is filed under the name Selaginella moellendorffii. RNAcentral describes it as "long non-coding RNA (SMOE_LNC001220)". The record is from RNAcentral. Lineage: Eukaryota; Viridiplantae; Streptophyta; Lycopodiopsida; Selaginellales; Selaginellaceae.
GUUUUUGAGGGUCUUGCAAUGCUUAAUUGAACACCUAAGAAUACAGAUGCAAAUUCAAAACCUUAUCACUCAUGGUCCCUUUAAUCUUCAAAUUUGAAUACCCACGUUUCUCUUAAUAACAAUACUAAGUUGAGUACAAUUUGAAUCUUUAGGGCAAGUUUUAGAUUUAGCAUCCAUGAUUACAGCCGAUCUUGACCUGAUCUUGCACAGCUGGCUCUCCAAGAAGGAUAUCACAUGAGCGGCGUUCACAAUGGUUGUUUGACCGAUGUGGAUCAUACAUGACAAGAACUAUUUUCUUUGAAGUGUUUCUAUACAAACGGUGUCUUGGUGAAUGGAGCUGGAUGGUCGUCUGGAUUCUUAGCUUCUUCGUGGUGCUGCGCCUUCUUGGCCUCAGCUCGGUCGGUGGCGGCGGCCUGGCGCGUGUCCUUGGUCAAAUCCGCGGCGAUGCCCGCCUCUUCGUCCCCUGCCCCUUUCAUCUUCUCGGCCUGCAUACAUCGCGCAUUGCAAUCCCGGGGAUCAAACUCUAAGCGAGAAAAGAAAAAACCCUAACCUGCGCUGAGAUCGUUGCUCCCGCCUUCUCCAAGUUCUCCUGCAUCGUCGCGCCCGCGUUCUUGAGGCCCUCCGCCACGGAAACCCCCUUGUCCUGCCCUGGUGCUUGCUUCAUCGCGAUCGAUUCUAGUCACAAAGAAACACAAUCCCUAGGAUCCUUCUUGCGAUGCUCUUCUUUUUCACUCCGCGGAGAACAAGCAAACUAGAUGCCACGUGUGAGGGUCCGUGGCGCAUUCUCA